UUGAUAUCUAUACUCCUACAAUUUCUUCAUAGUAAAUUUAUAAAUUUGUACUCUACUAUUACGUACUGGAAUGCACUUGUAAUCAACUCGUUUUUAUUUUUUAUUUUUUGAAUUCAAAAUUUAUUUUCCUAAUAAUCCAAAAAAGUGUGAAAUAAAAUUAAAUCCCUAGUUGAUAUAUAAAUACUUAGCAUAUUUUCUUUUUUAUAAAUAAAUAUCUAGUUCUAUACUACAAUAUAGGUAGACAAAUCAAAUAAUUGUUUUUAAACCUUUUCAUAUAAAAAUAUUCUUCAACAUAUGUUUCUUUUAAAAAGAUAAAGUGAUGGAAUGGUUAUAAGGGUAUUUUUACAAACAAAUAAUUCUUUUAGAAAUUGUGCAAUGCUUUAAUACAUCAAACCAAACAAUGAAUAAGAAAUAUGUCAGCAUUUCAUGCCAGCAUAACUAAUCCAAGCAUUUCUACUAUCAACAUUACUAACACAUCCUAUUUAUCAUUAUUCUCAUAUACCCUACCAAACAACCGCUAAAAGUGUUGAACGACUAUGACACUAAAAAGUCCCAUCGACCUAAUGCACAUGUUUAAAAUUAAAAAGGAAAUAAAAUCUUGAACCGGAAACCUUGACCUGACCCGAGCCCAAAUUCCAUGUAAAAGAACAAACAUAAGCCCUAAUUCGAACAACUCUUUUUUUAACAAAAAAUAAGGCAAAACCCUCUCCUUGUACAUUGCUCCUCGCCGCCUAUGUAAGUUUCUAUCUUUAUUUUUUAAAUUGUACGAACAAAUUUUAGGUUAGUUACAAAAAAAAUUGUGGUUGCUUCUAUUUCUAAGGUUUUGGUUAGAUUAGAUUAUAGUGCAUCUUAAUCGAAAAAGUACCGUGUUUGCUUAUCUUUUUCUUUGUGAUUUUUAUCCCUUAAUCUUCGGCCUUAUUUGCUUUGCCAUGUAAUAAUAGCUCCAUAAGUAAGAAAGUAAGGAAUAUUUAAGUAAUUAACUGAAAAUCUUAAUAAGCAGUGGUUUUAGCACGGUCGCUCAACUAUUAAUAAUUGACCUAAUUAUCUUAUUAUUACAUGUUUUAAAAGCUUUUGUGCAUUAUCGCUUUUAUACCGCUUUUAAUUAUUUUAAGCAAUUAUGGAGUUUAUUUAAACAAGUAGCGGUAUUUUAAACAAUUAUAGAGUUUAUUUAAACAAGUAGCGGUGUCGCGCACUUGUUAUUUUUGUACACAUCGCAGAUAACGCCACGUGAAACGCACCCGUGUUUUACAACAUGUUAAUUUUAUUAUUGUUUGAAGUAAUGGUCAGGUCUCAUGAAAUGCGCACCCACAUUGGGGAUUAUGUAUCACGACUAUGUCACGGGAACCGUACCCAUAGUCGUGAUGAUUUAAUUACGCGCCUAAAGCAAACUACGGUGUUUGAAAUUAUUCAUUCUCUAUGUUUGAGACUGACCGUAAAGGUCAUGAGUUAUGGAAAGAGUUGUUGAAAAGUAUGAGGUAUUAAUUGAUUCUAAUUCUCUGGGCCUUUGCCGCAUUGGAGUUCAUUUUGGAAGACAGAUUUAACACAAUUAACACUUGAUUCAUACGUUCCACUACUAAAAUUGUGUUCUUAUAACACCAAAAACUGCUAAAUCAAUUAAAACAACAUAGUUUCAAGUUUAGCAUCACAUAAUGAAUCAAUAACAAUUGAGCAGGAGGAGUCUAUCACUUUAAACCCAGACGAGUACAUUGGUGAAACUACAAAAUACAACACAAGAGGUACACAUUGUUCUUUUCCUAAUCGUGUGGCAGCAGAAUCACACAUCCACCUCAUUGAGCUGAUUUCUUCAUCAUACAUAUAUUUAGUCCACUGGUAUUCAAAUUCAUAGAUCCAAAUGGAUAUGAAGUCAUUAACUACUGCGCAAAGAUGGGCUAACACAAUAAUCAGUAAUUGAUGUUGCCUAACAGAAAUUAACUCAUAUGUUACCGAGUAUUUGACUCAUUUUAAACGAACAAAUAACAACACAUAUGGUCAAAUUAGAACCACUCAGUAAGCAAAUAAAUAGGCUGGAAUUAUGACACGGUAUCAAAACAGCUGAUCUUCAUUCAUCAAUUCAAUUAGAUGGCUUAAAAUGUGAAACAUACCUAGAGAUGAAUUCAGCAACAAGGAAUAACCAAAUAAAACUUAGAAGCAGAAGAUGAAGCUCAGUUAACAAUCCCCAGCAACAAUCGGCAGAGAAAAAAAAUACUUCCAACAGCCCAAAAGACCCUUUAACUUUCCAGAAAUACCAAAUGAAGGAGCAAGGCUUCGAAACAGCUUUCUUUUCCAGAUAACCUUGUUUUAAUGAAGGAGGUCUGUGAUGGAGCGGCUAGGGUGUGCUGUAUUUUUAUUUUGAGAAGGGGAGUCUGUUUGGAGAUGACGGAGGAAUAAGGGGCGGCUGCUUGGUUUUUUUUCCAGAAAAUGGGGGAUUUUUUAUUUAUUUUUUUAGGGCUAAGGGGGAAAAGGACUUUUAAUGAGGGGGAAAGAGAGAAUGGGCCAGGCGGGUCGGGGUGAAUUGGGCGGAUAUGGGAAUUCGUUUGGGCUCUUUGAGACUGGCCCAAUCCGAUUUAAACUAAAAACUUUCCCCCUUUUCUUUUGUUUGUUUUCUU
This 2606-nucleotide long non-coding RNA is filed under the name Nicotiana tabacum (common tobacco). Its description in RNAcentral is "long non-coding RNA (NTAB_LNC014226)". Lineage: Eukaryota; Viridiplantae; Streptophyta; Magnoliopsida; Solanales; Solanaceae. The record is from RNAcentral.